Molecule: ribosomal RNA, 446 nt
Filed under: uncultured bacterium
Lineage: Bacteria
Description: bacterial SSU rRNA
Rfam family: Bacterial small subunit ribosomal RNA
Source: RNAcentral
UCCAGACUCCUACGGGAGGCAGCAGUGGGGAAUAUUGCACAAUGGGGGAAACCCUGAUGCAGCGACGCCGCGUGAGUGAAGAAGUAAUUCGUUAUGUAAAGCUCUCUCAGCAGGGAAGAAAAUGACGGUACCUGAGUAAGAAGCCCCGGCUAACUACGUGCCAGCAGCCGCGGUAAUACGUAGGGGGCAAGCGUUAUCCGGAUUUACUGGGUGUAAAGGGAGCGUAGACGGCAGUGCAGGUCUGGAGUGAAAGCCCACGGCCCAACCGUGGGACUGCUCUGGAAACUGUAGAGCUGGAGUGCGGGAGGGGCAGGCGGAAUUCCUAGUGUAGCGGUGAAAUGCGUAGAUAUUAGGAGGAACACCGGCGGCGAAGGCGGCCUGCUGGACCGUAACUGACGUUGAGGCUCGAAAGCGUGGGGAUCAAACAGGAUUAGAUACCCCGGUAA